This is a non-coding RNA of Sus scrofa (pig), 72 nucleotides long. The record is from Rfam. Lineage: Eukaryota; Metazoa; Chordata; Mammalia; Artiodactyla; Suidae.
UCCCUGGUGGUCUAGUGGUUAGGAUUUGGCACUUUCACUGCCACAGCCAGGGUUCAAUCCCUGGUCUGAGAA